Long non-coding RNA from Rosa chinensis, 517 nucleotides. RefSeq lists it as uncharacterized. The record is from RefSeq and is a predicted model, not a curated record. The transcript has 2 exons. Lineage: Eukaryota; Viridiplantae; Streptophyta; Magnoliopsida; Rosales; Rosaceae.
GUACCUCCCUGAAGACCUGGUUAUUUCUGUUGCCAGACACAUGAAUUCCAUGGAGGAUUUGUUUAACUUUGCUUCAGCUUGUAGAUCACCGAGAUCAAUCAUCAAGGGCAAGGAAAACUUCAAACCGAUUAUCACAAUUCACAACUGCGAGGACGAACAAUAGAAAUAGAAUCUGAAAGUUCACUGAUACACUUAUCCGGAAGACUAAGAGAAUCGCCGUCCUAUUAGCGAGAUAUCAAUUGGUGAGGUUUUUUUUUUCUUUUUUAAUUUUUUUUGGGAAGAUAAGGUUGACUGUAAUGAGGUUUUGAUCGAUGUUGGGAUCAAAAUCGUAGUAAACAAAGUAAAACCUUUGUGAAAGAAUCGUUUUAAACCCUGAUCGAUGUUGUGAAAUAGGCAUUGAUCGUGGUAGGAAUUUGUUCACUAUAGAUAAUCUUAUGCCGUAGAGCCAAAGUUGAGUUUAUCAGCAAAUCUGCAGGUGUAAACACAAACAUAAAAUCACCCAAUCUUCUGCUGUUGA